UAGGUGNUNGUUANUUUGAUUNAAGCCCGGGNUCANCUUGGAAUGCAUUNGAUACUGGCGGGNUAGAGUACGUAGAGGGUGGCGGAAUUCCUGGUGUAGCAGUGAAAUGCGUAGAGAUCAGGAGGAACAUCCGUGGCGAAGGCGGCCACCUGGACCAGUACUGACACUGAGGCACGAAAGCGUGGGGAGCAAACAGGAUUAGAUACCCUGGUAGUCCACGCCCUAAACGAUGCGAACUGGAUGUUGGGGGCAAUCAGGCCUUCAGUAUCGAAGCUAACGCGUUAAGUUCGCCGCCUGGGGAGUACGGUCGCAAGACUGAAACUCAAAGGAAUUGACGGGGGCCCGCACAAGCGGU
This 355-nucleotide ribosomal RNA is filed under the name uncultured bacterium. RNAcentral describes it as "partial 16S ribosomal RNA". It matches the Rfam family "Bacterial small subunit ribosomal RNA", at positions 572 to 933 of the family's 1533-position model. The record is from RNAcentral.